GCAAUGUGCCCUUGACUCUGGGAUAAGCGCUGGAAACGGCGUCUAAUACCGGAUACGACGAUCGGAGGCAUCUCCUGGUCGUGGAAAGAACUUCGGUCAAGGAUCAGCUCACGGCCUAUCAGUUAGUUGGUGAGGUAAUGGCUCACCAAGACGACGACGGGUAGCCGGCCUGAGAGGGUGACCGGCCACACUGGGACUGAGACACGGCCCAGACUCCUACGGGAGGCAGCAGUGGGGAAUAUUGCACAAUGGGCGCAAGCCUGAUGCAGCAACGCCGCGUGAGGGACGAAGGCCUUCGGGUUGUAAACCUCUUUUAGCAGGGAAGAAGCGAAAGUGACGGUACCUGCAGAAAAAGCACCGGCUAACUACGUGCCAGCAGCCGCGGUAAUACGUAGGGUGCAAGC
RNAcentral lists this ribosomal RNA (404 nucleotides) under Agrococcus sp. Its description in RNAcentral is "bacterial SSU rRNA". It matches the Rfam family "Bacterial small subunit ribosomal RNA", at positions 121 to 539 of the family's 1533-position model. The record is from RNAcentral. Lineage: Bacteria; Bacillati; Actinomycetota; Actinomycetes; Micrococcales; Microbacteriaceae.